UACGUAGGGGGCAAGCGUUGUCCGGAAUUAUUGGGCGUAAAGAGCGCGUAGGCGGUCCGGUAAGUCGGUUGUGAAAGUCGGGGGCUCAACCCUCGGAUGCCGAUCGAUACUGUCGGGCUAGAGUCCGGAAGAGGCGAGUGGAAUUCCUGGUGUAGCGGUGGAAUGCGCAGAUAUCAGGAGGAACACCAACGGCGAAGGCAGCUCGCUGGGACGGUACUGACACUAAGGCGCGAAAGCGUGGGGAGCGAACAGG
RNAcentral lists this ribosomal RNA (253 nucleotides) under uncultured bacterium. RNAcentral describes it as "partial 16S ribosomal RNA". It matches the Rfam family "Bacterial small subunit ribosomal RNA", at positions 524 to 776 of the family's 1533-position model. The record is from RNAcentral.